RNAcentral lists this ribosomal RNA (408 nucleotides) under uncultured bacterium. RNAcentral's name for it is "partial 16S ribosomal RNA". It matches the Rfam family "Bacterial small subunit ribosomal RNA", at positions 28 to 526 of the family's 1533-position model. The record is from RNAcentral.
GACGAACGCUGGCGGCGUGCUUAACACAUGCAAGUCGAACGAAGUGGCGAACGGGUGAGUAAGACGGGGGUAAACUGCCCUCCUUUAUGGGAUAAAGCUUGGAAACGGGGUCUAAUAACGAAUAAAGGGGGAUGGGCUCGCGGCCUAUCAGCUUGGUGGUGGGGUGAUGGCCUACCAAGGCGGUGACGGGUAGCCGGACUGAGAGGGUGCCCGGCCACAUUGGGACGGAGAUGCGGCCUAGACUACUACGGGAUGGAGCAUUGGGGGCUAUUGCACAAGGUGCGACAGCCUGAUGCAGCGAGGGCGAGUGGGGGAUGAAGGCUUUCGGGUUGUAAACCUCUUUCGCUAUCGAGCGGGUAGGUGGAGAAGAAGCGCCGGCUAACUACGUGCCAGCAGCCGCGGUAAUAC